This 428-nucleotide RNase P RNA is filed under the name Streptomyces reticuliscabiei. RNAcentral's name for it is "partial ribonuclease P RNA". It matches the Rfam family "Bacterial RNase P class A". From Rfam's summary of the family: Ribonuclease P (RNase P) is a ubiquitous endoribonuclease, found in archaea, bacteria and eukarya as well as chloroplasts and mitochondria. Its best characterised activity is the generation of mature 5'-ends of tRNAs by cleaving the 5'-leader elements of precursor-tRNAs. Lineage: Bacteria; Bacillati; Actinomycetota; Actinomycetes; Kitasatosporales; Streptomycetaceae. The record is from RNAcentral.
ACGGCAGACGAGCCGGGCGGACGGCCGCGUGGACUCCCCUUCGGGGGCGCUCCCCGAGGAACGUCCGGGCUCCACAGGGCAGGGUGAUGGCUAACGGCCACCCGGGGUGACCCGCGGGAAAGUGCCACAGAAAACAGACCGCCGGAGACUUCGGUCCCCGGUAAGGGUGAAACGGUGGUGUAAGAGACCACCAGUGCCCAGGGUGACCUGGGCAGCUAGGUAAACCCCACCCGGAGCAAGGUCAAAAGGGAACGUCCCCAAGGAUUUGGACGACGCUCCUGCGAGGACGUUCGAGGGCUGCCCGCCCGAGUCCCCGGGUAGACCGCACGAGGCCGGCGGCAACGCCGGCCCUAGAUGGAUGGCCGUCGCCGAGGGGUUCGCGAGGACCCCUCGGACACAGAACCCGGCGUACGGCCCGGCUCGUCUGC